RNAcentral lists this ribosomal RNA (497 nucleotides) under uncultured bacterium. Its description in RNAcentral is "partial 16S ribosomal RNA". It matches the Rfam family "Bacterial small subunit ribosomal RNA", at positions 28 to 507 of the family's 1533-position model. The record is from RNAcentral.
GAUGAACGCUGGCGGCGUGCCUAAUACAUGCAAGUCGAGCGAACAGAUGAGGAGCUUGCUCCUCUGACGUUAGCGGCGGACGGGUGAGUAACACGUGGAUAACCUACUUCUAAGACUGGGAUAACUUCGGGAAACCGGAGCUAAUACCGGAUAAUAUAUUGAACCGCAUGGUUCAAUAGUGAAUGACGGUUUUGCUGUCACUUAUAGAUGGAUCCGCGCUGCAUUAGCUAGUUGGUAAGGUAACGGCUUACCAAGGCAACGAUGCGUAGCCGACCUGAGAGGGUGAUCGGCCACACUGGAACUGAGACACGGUCCAGACUCCUACGGGAGGCAGCAGUAGGGAAUCUUGCGCAAUGGGCGAAAGCCUGACGGAGCAACGCCGCGUGAGUGAUGAAGGUCUUCGGAUCGUAAAACUCUGUUAUUAGGGAAGAACAAAUGUGUAAGUAACUAUGCACGUCUUGACGGUACCUAAUCAGAAAGCAACGGCUAACUACGUG